This is a long non-coding RNA of Pezoporus occidentalis (night parrot), 1189 nucleotides long. RefSeq lists it as uncharacterized. The record is from RefSeq and is a predicted model, not a curated record. NCBI's taxonomy places the organism in Eukaryota, Metazoa, Chordata, Aves, Psittaciformes, Psittacidae. The transcript has 2 exons.
AGUGGGAAUAUCUUACAGCGUGCUGCCUCAUGCAGACAUGAGGCAGAGGUUGGACUGUAAAAGUUAGUCCAGCCUGCACCAAGGGCAGCACUUCACUACCCUGCCCAAAAUGCUGCUCAGGCAUCAGAUUUGCCCUUUAAGCCUGGUGCCUCUCCUCCAACCACACGCACACUUAUGGUCUCCUGACAUGUUUUAAUUAUUAAACAACUCUUAACUGCUUUGCCCCUCUCUGUCUGGUUACAAUGAGCACGUGAGCAAGGAGGGACAGGCAGGCUUUCAGCAUCCUUACCCGUUCUUCUCUUCCCUCCCUACAUGGCAGGGAAAGACAAGACCUGUCCUUCCUUCUGUCGCAUGUUCUCUGCGGGGUCCCGUAGUGUGAGUAGGCCCUUAUUUGCAUGAAGUCAUUUACAAAGAAGGAAUAAGAGACUAUCAUCUGGAUUUAGCUCCUUCCAUCUGCACUCAGCAGGCAGCCUUGGCUCCUUUACCGGCAAAUGCACACCUUUGCCUAUACAUUGGUCCUAUCCUAACCCCAUUACCACUGGUUCCUGUGCAAAUCUUGUGAAUAAAGCAAGACAACCCAUCUCAGAGUAGAAAACUAUACCCAGAGUAGAAAAUAGAUGCCCUAAAAGUAGAAAGUCUGGGCGUUCCUGCUCAGCAUUCCAAACUUUUCACUUUUACUAUAUGAUUAACAUUACUCUAUUGGAGUGACUUCUUCCCUGGGCACAGAAGACAGCCUCAUGCUGCUGCACAGAGCUUCUUCAGUUAUUUGGGCACUGGGCUGCUCUCUCGAAGUGUGGUUCCACAAAGCACCAAGCAUGCUUUUAAAUGCUCUAAAGGAAGGACCGUGAGCUUUCCCCAUCCAUGCCUGGGAGAGACAAGCACAUUCCUCACCUCGCUGAGGGUAAGUUGUGUGUGUUUAGGUGUCUCAGAGACCCAGUUUUAAAAGCAAGCUCAUAAAUGCUUGUAUGGCUCCUGAAAAAAUGGAGCAUAGGCUCCUGACCAAAGUACGUGAAGAACUUCUGGGCAAGAUUAAGAUUUCUGACUGACAAAAAAAAAACCUCAAAACCUCAAAACCACACAAUCCCCAAACCGCUCAUGGAAAAAAUUGUUUCCAUGUGACUGAUUUUACUUUCAACAUUGUCAAGACCUCUCUGUUGCAGUGAAUUUUAGGUAAAACACCCUCUAUUUU